UUGAACUGAAGAGUUUGAUCAUGGCUCAGAUUGAACGCUGGCGGCAGGCCUAACACAUGCAAGUCGAGCGGAUGAAGAGAGCUUGCUCUCUGAUUCAGCGGCGGACGGGUGAGUAAUGCCUAGGAAUCUGCCUGAUAGUGGGGGACAACGUUUCGAAAGGAACGCUAAUACCGCAUACGUCCUACGGGAGAAAGCAGGGGACCUUCGGGCCUUGCGCUAUCAGAUGAGCCUAGGUCGGAUUAGCUAGUUGGUGAGGUAA
RNAcentral lists this ribosomal RNA (259 nucleotides) under Stutzerimonas kunmingensis. Its description in RNAcentral is "Pseudomonas kunmingensis 16S rRNA. Bacterial SSU". It matches the Rfam family "Bacterial small subunit ribosomal RNA", at positions 1 to 260 of the family's 1533-position model. Lineage: Bacteria; Pseudomonadati; Pseudomonadota; Gammaproteobacteria; Pseudomonadales; Pseudomonadaceae. The record is from RNAcentral.